AGCGGAGGAAAAGAAACUAACAAGGAUUCCCCUAGUAACUGCGAGUGAAGCGGGAAAAGCUCAAAUUUAAAAUCUGGCGGUCUUUGGCUGUCCGAGUUGUAAUCUAGAGAAGUGUUAUCCGUGCUGGACCGUGUACAAGUCUUCUGGAAUGGAGCGUCAUAGAGGGUGAGAAUCCCGUCUUUGACACGGACUACCAGUGCUUUGUGAUGCGCUCUCAAAGAGUCGAGUUGUUUGGGAAUGCAGCUCAAAAUGGGUGGUAAAUUCCAUCUAAAGCUAAAUAUUGGCGAGAGACCGAUAGCGAACAAGUACCGUGAGGGAAAGAUGAAAAGAACUUUGGAAAGAGAGUUAAACAGUACGUGAAAUUGCUGAAAGGGAAACGCUUGAAGUCAGUCGCGUUGGCCUGGAAUCAACCUUGCUUUUGCUGGGCGUACUUCCUGGUUGACGGGUCAGCAUCAAUUUUGACCGUUGGAAAAAGCUCAGGGAAAUGUGGCAUCUUCGGAUGUGUUAUAGUCUCUGUUCGCAUACAACGAUUGGGAUUGAGGAACUCAGCACGCCGCAAGGCCGGGUCUUUGACCACGUACGUGCUUAGGAUGCUGGCAUAAUGGCUUUAAUCGACCCGUCUUGAAACACGGACCAAGGAGUCUAACAUGCCUGCGAGUGUUUGGGUGGAAAACCCGAGCGCGUAAUGAAAGUGAAAGUUGAGAUCCCUGUCGUGGGGAGCAUCGACGCCCGGACCUGACCUUUUGUGACGGCUCCGCGGUAGAGCAUGUAUGUUGGGACCCGAAAGAUGGUGAACUAUGCCUGAAUAGGGUGAAGCCAGAGGAAACUCUGGUGGAGGCUCGUAGCGAUUCUGACGUGCAAAUCGAUCGUCAAAUUUGGGUAUAGGGGCGAAAGACUA
This 898-nucleotide ribosomal RNA is filed under the name Descomyces sp. PDD 100977. Its description in RNAcentral is "eukaryotic LSU rRNA". It matches the Rfam family "Eukaryotic large subunit ribosomal RNA", at positions 49 to 933 of the family's 3401-position model. Lineage: Eukaryota; Fungi; Basidiomycota; Agaricomycetes; Agaricales; Bolbitiaceae. The record is from RNAcentral.